RNAcentral lists this ribosomal RNA (253 nucleotides) under uncultured bacterium. RNAcentral's name for it is "partial 16S ribosomal RNA". It matches the Rfam family "Bacterial small subunit ribosomal RNA", at positions 524 to 776 of the family's 1533-position model. The record is from RNAcentral.
UACAGAGGUCCCAAGCGUUGUUCGGAUUCACUGGGCGUAAAGGGUGCGUAGGCGGUCGGGUAAGUCUGGCGUGAAAUCUCCAAGCCUAACUUGGAAACUGCGUUGGAUACUAUCCGGCUCGAGGAAUGGAGGGGAGACUGGAAUACUUGGUGUAGCAGUGAAAUGCGUAGAUAUCAAGUGGAACACCAGUGGCGAAGGCGAGUCUCUGGACAUUUCCUGACGCUGAGGCACGAAAGCUAGGGGAGCAAACGGG